GUGAGGAAUAUUGGACAAUGGGCGCAAGCCUGAUCCAGCCAUGCCGCGUGCAGGAAGACGCAUCUAUGGUGUGUAAACUGCUUUUGUACGGGAAGAAACACUCCCUCGUGAGGGAGCUUGACGGUACCGUAAGAAUAAGGAUCGGCUAACUCCGUGCCAGCAGCCGCGGUAAUACGGAGGAUCCAAGCGUUAUCCGGAAUCAUUGGGUUUAAAUGGUCCGUAGGCGGUUUAAUAAGUCAGUGGUGAAAGCCCAUCGCUCAACGAUGGAACGGCCAUUGAUACUGUUAGACUUGAAUUACAAGGAAGUAACUAGAAUAUGUAGUGUAGCGGUGAAAUGCUUAGAGAUUACAUGGAAUACCAAUUGCGAAGGCAGGUUACUACUUGUGGAUUGACGCUGAUGGACGAAAGCGUGGGGAGCGAACAGGAUUAGAUACCCUUGUAGUCC
Molecule: ribosomal RNA, 445 nt
Filed under: uncultured bacterium
Lineage: Bacteria
Description: partial 16S ribosomal RNA
Rfam family: Bacterial small subunit ribosomal RNA
Source: RNAcentral